RNAcentral lists this unclassified non-coding RNA (590 nucleotides) under Hevea brasiliensis (rubber tree). Lineage: Eukaryota; Viridiplantae; Streptophyta; Magnoliopsida; Malpighiales; Euphorbiaceae. The record is from RNAcentral.
UGAUGGAUUCAGUAGCAGCAGCUGCAUCAUCAUCGCCUUGUAAAGAGGUGAAGGUAUCGGAAUGUUUUGGAGAAAAUAGUGUUUUUCCACCUGGGUUUAGGUUUCAUCCGACAGAUGAGGAGCUUGUUCUGUACUACUUGAAGAGGAAGAUCUGUAGGCGCCGGAUUUUGCUUGAUGCGAUUGGAGAGACGGAUGUGUACAAGUGGGAGCCAGAGGAUUUGCCUGAUUUGUCCAAGUUAAAAACUGGGGACAGGCAGUGGUUCUUCUUUAGUCCCAGAGAUCGAAAAUAUCCCAAUGGAGCACGGUCAAACAGGGCAUCAAAGCACGGGUAUUGGAAAGCUACUGGAAAAGAUCGUAUUAUUACAUGCAACUCUCGUGCUGUUGGAGUCAAGAAGACGCUGGUCUUUUAUAAAGGGCGAGCGCCAGUAGGUGAACGGACAGAUUGGGUGAUGCAUGAGUACACCAUGGAUGAAGAAGAGCUGAAGAGAUGCCAGAAUGUGCAGGACUACUAUGCACUUUACAAGGUCUUCAAGAAGAGUGGGCCUGGCCCCAAGAAUGGUGAGCAAUAUGGUGCACCUUUUAGAGAAGAG